CCCCUCUCAGGGUUGCACCUGGAGAGUUUCCAGUACUCUACCAGUCAUGACUACAGGAGGAAGGAUCAAGCAGAGGUACACCCAUUCCAUUCCUAGCUUGGCCAGUGGCUAAUGAGUGGAAAACAAUCUGCUACAAGU
Molecule: small nucleolar RNA, 138 nt
Filed under: Ornithorhynchus anatinus (platypus)
Lineage: Eukaryota; Metazoa; Chordata; Mammalia; Monotremata; Ornithorhynchidae
Source: RNAcentral